Molecule: ribosomal RNA, 497 nt
Filed under: uncultured bacterium
Lineage: Bacteria
Description: partial 16S ribosomal RNA
Rfam family: Bacterial small subunit ribosomal RNA
Source: RNAcentral
GAUGAACGCUGGCGGCGUGCCUAAUACAUGCAAGUCGAGCGAACGGACGAGAAGCUUGUUUCUCUGAUGUUAGCGGCGGACGGGUGAGUAACACGUGGAUAACCUACUUCUCUGACUGGGAUAACUUCGGGAAACCGGAGCUAAUACCGGAUGAUAUUUUGUACCGCAUGGUUCAAGAGUGAAUGACGGUCUUGCUGUCACUUAUAGACGGAUCCGCGUUGCAUUAGCGAGUUGGUAAGGUAACGGCUUACCAAGGCAACGAGGCAUAGCCGACCUGAGAGGGGGAGCGGGCACAAUGGAACUGAGACACGGUCCAGACUCCUACGGGAGGCAGCAGUAGGGAAUCUGCCGCAAUGGGCGAAAGCCUGACGGAGCAACGCCGCGUGAGUGAUGAAGGCCUUCGGAUCGUAAACCUCUGUUAUGAGGGAAGAACAUAUGUGUAAGUAACUGGGCACAUCGUGACGGUACCUAAUCAGAAAGCCACGGCUAACUACGUG